GUAUAUCUGGGAUGUGCGAUAACUCCCGUAUUUUGAACCUACAUUUUCUUUUACGGGAAUUCAACUAUUUGUACCAUAAUGACCAGCCUCCAUAGAGUGGACUUCAGCGUGCUACAUGAGAGUACCCACCUAGCAUGUGCUAGGACUCAAAAGGGGAGCCGGCAUCUUGGAUAUACA
This is a non-coding RNA of Eubacterium ruminantium, 177 nucleotides long. Lineage: Bacteria; Bacillati; Bacillota; Clostridia; Eubacteriales; Eubacteriaceae. The record is from Rfam.